RNAcentral lists this long non-coding RNA (2355 nucleotides) under Apteryx rowi (Okarito brown kiwi). RNAcentral describes it as "lncRNA (ENSARWG00000008333.1)". Lineage: Eukaryota; Metazoa; Chordata; Aves; Apterygiformes; Apterygidae. The record is from RNAcentral.
GUGCUAACCACAGACGGCUUCCAACACGUGAAGCCACGCUGCCCGCCCCGGCAGGGUUCCCCUUGUUACAGGGUCGUAGGGCUGCUGCCAAGGUUUUUUUUCCUUUUUCUCUCUUUCCUUUUCUUUCUUUCCUUUUCUUCUGUCCUUUUCUUCUGUCCUGUUGAUUUUUUAUCUUCCCUUGUUUUUCCUUCCUUCUUUCCUUUUUCUUCUGUCAUUUUUUUCCCUUUAUUCUCUUUCCUUUUUUUCUUUUUUCUUUCCUUUUUCCUUUCCUCUUGUCUUUCCCUUGUCUUUCCCUUUUUCUUUCCAUUCUUUUUCUUUCUUCCCUUUCUCUUUUCUCUUUUUUAUUUCCUUUUCCUUUCCUUUUUUCUCUUCCUUUUUUUCCUCUUUGUUUCCCCCCUUUCCCUUUCCCCUUUUGUCUUUCUUUUUUUCUUUCCUCUUUUCUCUCCCUUUUCCUUUCCUUUUUUCUCCUUCCCUUUUUCUUAUUCUUUCUUUCUUCUCGCUUUCCUUCUCUUUCCCUUUUUUCUGUAUCUCUUUCUCCUUUCACUUCCCUUUCUCUUUGAUUUUUUCUUUGUCUUUCCCUCUUUCCUGCUUUCUUCCCUUUUUAUCUUUCCCCUUUUCCUAUUUUUUCCUCCCUUCUUCUCUUUCCUUCUUCCUCUUUUCCUUUUUUUGGCUUUCCUCUGUUUCCUUUCAUUUUUUCUUUUCCCCUUUUUCCUUCCUUUUUUACUCUUUUCUUCUCUUUCAUUUUCUUUCUUUCCUUGUCUAUCCUUUUGCUCUUUCUCUUUUCUUUUCCUUUUCUUUCCUUUUUUCUCUUUCCAUUUAAGCUUUCCUUUUUUUCUUGCCCUUUUUUUGCUUCCCUUUUCUCCUUUUUUCUUUUCCCGUCUUUGUUUCUCUUUCUUUUUUUACUUCUUUCCUCUUUCUCUUUCCUUUCUUAGUCUCUUCUUUCUCUUUCCUCUGUUCUUUCCCCCUUUUUUUCUUGUCUUUCUUUUGCCUUUUUUCUCUUUUUUCCUUUUUUCUUUUCUUCUUUCCCUUUUCUUUUCAUCUUUUUUCUCUUCCCUCUUUUCUUUCCUCUUUUCGUCACUGUUUUCUUUCUUUCCAUUUUUCUCUUUCCAUCUUUUUUUCUCUCCAUUCUUCUUUCUUCUCUUUCCUUUUUUCUCGUUUUCUUUCCUUUCUCCCUUUCCUCUUCUUUCCAUUUUUCUAUCCUUUCACCUCUCUCCUGUUUUUCUUUCCUUUUUUCUCUCAUAUUUUCCUUCCUAUUUUCUUUUUCCUUUUAUUUUCCUGCCUUCUUUUCUUUCUUUGUUCCUCUUUCCUUUGUCUCUUUCCUGUUUGCCUCUUUCCUUUCUUCUUUCCUCUUUUCUUUCCCUUAAUUCCCGUUCCUUUUGGGCUCUUUUCUUUUUUCUUUCCUUUUGCCUUUUGCCUUUUCCUUUUCUUUCUUUUUUUUCCUUUCUUUUUUCUUUCCUUUUUUUCUCUGCCUUGUUUCUUUUUUGCCGCUUUCCUUUCACUUUCCUUUAUCGCUCUUUUCAUUCCUUCCUUCCUUUCAUUUUCUGUUCUCUUCCUUUUUUGUGCGUGGCUUUCCUUUUUCUUUCUCUUUUCUCUUUCCAUUCUGCCUUUCCUCUUUUCUUUCCAUUUUUCUUUCUUUUUGCUCUUUCCUUCUCUUUCCCUUUUUGCUCUUUCUUUUUUCCCUUGUCUUUGUUUUCUUGCCUUUCCCUUCCUUUUGCUUUUCCCUUUUUUCUUUCCUUUUUUCCUGUUCUUCUUUCUCCUUUUGUUUCUUUUUGCUCUUUCCUUUUUUCUAUAUCCUUUUUUCUCUUCCCUUUUUUCUAUACUCUCUUGUCUCCUCUUUUUUUUCUCUUUCCUUUUUUUCUUUCCUUUUGUCUUUCUCAGUUCUCUCUUUCCUUCUUUCUCUCAUCUUUUCAUUCCUUUACUCUGUUUCUUUUUAUAAGGCUGCUGCCAAGGCCUUUUUUUCCCUCUUGCCUUUUCUUUCUUUCCUUGCCUUUUCUUUCUUUCUUUCUUUGUUUUUCUCCCAUUUUUUCUUGUCUUUCCUUUUCUAUCCUUUUCUUCCCUUUUUUCUUCUUCCCUUUUUUCACUUUAUUUCUCUCUCCUUUUUCUUCUCUUCCCUUUUCUCUUUGGUUCUUUCUCUUCCUUUUUUUCAUUUCCUUUCUCUUUCCAUUUUCUCUUUCCAUUUUCUCUCCUGUUUCUUUCCCCGUUUCUUUCCUUUUUAUCUCUUUUCUCUCUUUCCUUUCUCCUCUUUCCUUUUUUUCACUUUCUUUUUUUUUUCUAUUUCUUUUCUUAUCUUCCCAUUUUUAUUUUCUUUCUUUUCUCUUUCCUUUUUUUUUUCUCUUUCCCGUUUUUACAGAUUAG